This 117-nucleotide ribozyme is filed under the name Aedes aegypti (yellow fever mosquito). RNAcentral's name for it is "drz-agam-1 ribozyme". It matches the Rfam family "drz-agam-1 ribozyme". The record is from Rfam by way of RNAcentral. Lineage: Eukaryota; Metazoa; Arthropoda; Insecta; Diptera; Culicidae.
UGCCCAGCAACUCCUAUCCCUACCUUCUCGAGGUACUGGCCGGGGUACGAGUAACCUUGGGGAAGAUCGGGUAACCAACCCCCGGUGGGAACUUUGGUCGUAUGCUGACAGGGAAGG